GUGCUCACUUUGGCAGCACAUAUACUAAAAUUGGAAAGAUACAGAGAUUAGCAUGGCCCUUGCUCAAGGAAAACACGCAAAUUCAUGAAGCAUUCCAUAUUUUU
Small nuclear RNA from Trichechus manatus latirostris (Florida manatee), 104 nucleotides. Lineage: Eukaryota; Metazoa; Chordata; Mammalia; Sirenia; Trichechidae. The record is from RefSeq and is a predicted model, not a curated record.